AGAGUUUUUAAUACCUCUGUGACCAGAAAGAAUGAAAAGACCUCUCCAAGUAGCUAAUUUACCACCUGCCUAACACUGUGUCCAUGACAGUUACACAGUCAGGUGAAAUAGAGCUAAAUUGCCUCUUUGCUCACAGUCUCUGGUCAAACUGAUUCCAUCCCUAGGCUGUUACAGCUCUGUGGGGAGACCAGCUAAGAGGCUUAUAGAAUUGAAACUGUUAGUGAAAAUUAUGGUGUCUCAAAAUGACUGCUGGACUACGAGAUUCUGAUUCCAGGAAAUCUAGUGGUUUCUGUGGGGACAAUGUGUGGAAAGAAGAUGACAGGGAAAUGACUCUGUUGCAGGCCUCCAUUUUCUGAUACUGUUGUCUUGGCUGACCUUUGGUAACAAGGUCAACAAACACCAGACGCUGUUUUUUGGAGUCAGUGAGAAUUAAUGAGGAAGGAGCCACGAUCCCUUCUCUGAGAGCCCCUGUGAGCAGCUCUCCCCAAACUCCUUGACUGUUCUUCAUAUAGAUUGAUCCUCUAUAGCCAUAGUAGUGGGACAUGUCACAUUGGGUAAUGGUGUGGACUCUGAAGUCAAAGUGUUCAAAUUCUUGAUGUGUGACCUUGUUACCUCUUUGUCCCUAGGUUUUAUCAUCUGAUAAAAAUGGGGAUAGUAAUGGUACCCAAGUCAUAGACUCAUAUAUAAUAUGCUUAGAGGUAAGCAUUAUGUAAGUGCUCACCCAGAUAAAGCUGCCCAAACUGGGUGCUCUAGCAGUUGAUGUCAGUGUUCUGGCCAUAUUGCCUUGUAUUCACUUUACAUGCUCAAGACUGCCUUCAGGACAAGCCAGAAAUUCUGAAAGUUAAUGUUUCUGGAACAAGCCCUAAGCCAAUGACAGAAAGGACACUGAUGCAUGAAUGCUCAGCUUCUGUGUCCUAUGGUUGAGAUAAUUCUGGAGUAUGUUCUAUGCUGUCUCCUAAAGCUCCCCAGGGAGAUGAAGCUCCAAAUGCCCAUGGUAGUAACUGCCUUGAUAAUAUACUUCACUGGCUUUAUUUUCUCUCUUUCUGUCUCCCCCUCCGCUCCCCCGCCCUGUUUCUUUCUCGCUCCACUCCACCCUUCUACCUCCAUACCAUUGCUUCCUGGGAUAGCCUCUCAAAUAAACUACUACUUGCAUUUGAAUCUUUUCUCAGAGUCUGCUUCUGGGGGAUCCCAAAUGAAGAUAGGUUUCACAGCUUUGGAGUAAUGACAGACCACAGCAUUCUGGUUUUGGCAAAGUCUCCCCUCCUUACCCCUGAACCUUUGUGAAGCUUGUGAACCAGUCUUUCGUCACAAGUCUAACAGGCCUGUGACAGUGAAGAAAUGAAGACCCCAGAUUUAAUACUAGACAAAUCUGGAAGAAACCACAGUGUUCCUGGCUGAGGCCCCUGACAGGAAGGAGCCCCAGUAGUGACAGAUGAGAACUCAUGGUCAGAGAAAGUAAGUCUGGGCUUCAGCAGCUUUCAGACAAAGGUGUAAGAUGGGCCUGGCUCUGGCAGACCCUGAACUGAGCCUUCAUAUGGCCCCAGGCCAGGCCAGCCUGGUGCUAGGUCAUGGCUAGGCAAUAAUGGGGUCUCCAGCUGUGUCGAUGUGUAUGUACAUAGGCUUCAGCGCAGCUGUGGGGCCCACGUCCAGUUUCAUCUGCCCUUGAUGUAGCAGCGCCUGCAGACUCAUGCAAUGGCUGGAAGUCCUUUGGCC
This 1713-nucleotide long non-coding RNA is filed under the name Felis catus (domestic cat). RNAcentral describes it as "lncRNA (ENSFCAG00000047670.1)". The record is from RNAcentral. Lineage: Eukaryota; Metazoa; Chordata; Mammalia; Carnivora; Felidae.